Molecule: ribosomal RNA, 464 nt
Filed under: uncultured bacterium
Lineage: Bacteria
Description: partial 16S ribosomal RNA
Rfam family: Bacterial small subunit ribosomal RNA
Source: RNAcentral
CCUACGGGUGGCAGCAGUAGGGAAUCUUCCACAAUGGGCGAAAGCCUGAUGGAGCAACGCCGCGUGGGUGAAGAAGGUCUUCGGAUCGUAAAACCCUGUUGUUAGAGAAGAAAGUGCGUGAGAGUAACUGUUCACGUUUCGACGGUAUCUAACCGGAAAGCCACGGCUAACUACGUGCCAGCAGCCGCGGUAAUACGUGGGUGGCAAGCUUUAUCCGGAUUUAUUGGGUUUAAAGGGUGCGCAGGCGGAAUGUCAAUUCAGCGGGAAAAUUUCGGGGUUCAACCCCGUCGUGCCGUUGAAACUGGCGGUCUUGAGUGAGCGAGAAGUAGGCGGAAUUCGUGGUGUAGCGGUGAAAUGCAUAGAUAUCACGCAGAACUCCGAUUGCGAAGGCAGCAUACCGGCGCUCAACUGACGCUCAUGCACGAAAGCGUGGGUAUCGAACAGGAUUAGAUACCCCUGUAGUC